ACGAAGGGAGCUAGCGUUGUUCGGAAUUACUGGGCGUAAAGGGCGCGUAGGCGGUAGAACAAGUCAGGUGUGAAAGCCCAAGGCUUAACCUUGGAACUGCGCUUGAUACUGUUCUGCUUGAAUUCGGGAGAGGUGAGUGGAAUUCCCAGUGUAGAGGUGAAAUUCGUAGAUAUUGGGAAGAACACCGGUGGCGAAGGCGGCUCACUGGACCGACAUUGACGCUGAGGCGCGAAAGCGUGGGGAGCAAACAG
This 251-nucleotide ribosomal RNA is filed under the name uncultured prokaryote. RNAcentral's name for it is "partial 16S rRNA". It matches the Rfam family "Bacterial small subunit ribosomal RNA", at positions 525 to 775 of the family's 1533-position model. The record is from RNAcentral.